Molecule: long non-coding RNA, 894 nt
Organism: Drosophila novamexicana
Lineage: Eukaryota; Metazoa; Arthropoda; Insecta; Diptera; Drosophilidae
Exons: 3
Source: RefSeq, a predicted model, not a curated record
AUUUCAAUUUCCUUAACAACAAAAGCAGUAGCAACACGAACAACAGUAACAACAACAGCAAUUGCACGCAUACAAAAACUAAAUAAAGUUGUAGCACAAUAGCUCCUACGUCUGACAAUGCUACACGAAACGUAGCUCGGAAUUUAUUGCAUUGGCUGUACAAGGAGCGUUGAAAAGGGGGGACAGCUGCCUGCCUGCUGCUGUGCUGCAGUUAAGGAAGAAAAAACACUCGCUCGCACACAAUGCCAGCAACGACUGGCAGUCAGUCGUGAAUCCAUAGCUAACAGGCGAUGCAACUAAAUACAAAAACCACGUGACAAUGUUUUCAGAACAACAACAGCAACAACAACGUGUAUGGGUCAACAUUUCAAAUGGAUUUGCCGAUAAAAAAAGAAGGUCGUAGCCUUGUCUAUGGUCUAUCGGGUGUUGCAGCAGCCAGCAACUUUCGUAUUUGUCGCAUUUGUCACAAGGCGUAGUGCAAACCGCAUUAGCCUUCAUCAAGCCGAACAAAUGCCGAUGCAAGGCAAAAAAUUAAAAAACAGACACAACGUACAGCAAAUAUUGGAUAACUAGGCGAAUGCGUGAUAUGUUGGCGUUACACAAAGUCAAUAUGCUUUAGGUUCUGCUCAACGCCCGGAAUGAGAGAGUGUGUACUCAAUUGCUGAACCUACAGAACAAUGUAGGAAGCCCGCUCUGUAUUAAAAUGUAGUUGUUUCACUUCUGUUGAAAUUAAAACAGACCAGAUCUUGCAAAAUAAUCGAUCCCAAACAUCUAAUCAAUGCUUAGUGUGCAAAGGAACUGUAUUGCUUUCUAUUCAACUAGUUUGAGUGCAUUUUGUCGACUAUCAUAAUUCUCGUUUGCUAAAAUAUAAAAAUAAAUAUAAAACGUAUACAG